GGGUGUAGCUCAGUGACAAAGUGCAUGCCUAGCAUGCAUGAAGUCCUGGGUUCAAUCCCCAGUACUGCCA
RNAcentral lists this transfer RNA (70 nucleotides) under Camelus bactrianus (Bactrian camel). It matches the Rfam family "tRNA". Rfam says of the family: Transfer RNA (tRNA) molecules are approximately 80 nucleotides in length. RNAcentral also lists the same sequence under 2 other names. The record is from Rfam by way of RNAcentral. Lineage: Eukaryota; Metazoa; Chordata; Mammalia; Artiodactyla; Camelidae.